GUGUGUAGGAGCUGUACAGUGGAGGCAAAGACUGUAACAUCCUGGCGUGGGUUCCUGUCCUCCGCGCCUCAGAUGUGGAAGAAGAGACGAGUCGAGAAAAUAAGGGUGCCGCCGGCCAGUCCUCGGUGAACCCUGCCUUUCAGGACGCGUGGAGCAGUGAUGAAGACUGAUGUAGAUGUUUUGAAUAUGUGGACAGAGUGAGGUGACUGAGCAUGCAAAUAAACUCGCAUCCAUCACAAAUACUGUCAAGGGAAACCAGUGGAAAUAAUUGUGGGUUUAGAGAAGCUGCUGACGCUGACAAAAGCCUUAAAUCUUAAGUGAAAUGUGUACAUAAUUGUCUGACUUUGUGUUUUUUUUCAUGUGUUUUUUGUACAUUUGAUAUCACGAUGCUUGCUAUUGUCACUUUGCUUUUUUUUUUUUUUAAAUUGAAAGUAAAUCCAACAGUGAGUUUCACAUUGUUGAUUCUUCUUAACCUGUUUCCAAGCAAUUCAUCAUUUGGGGGUAUCUUCCAUUAUUUGUGCAAAAACACAAAAUGAAUUCAUCUGUAUUGCAGGUAUUAUAAUGACACUAUAUUGUACAUUUUGUAAUAAUCAUGAAAAGUUUUGGUAAACAGCAGCAUUUCUAAGCUUUUUAAAAA
Stegastes partitus (bicolor damselfish) is the source of this 637-nucleotide long non-coding RNA. RefSeq lists it as uncharacterized. Lineage: Eukaryota; Metazoa; Chordata; Actinopteri; Pomacentridae. The record is from RefSeq and is a predicted model, not a curated record. The transcript has 2 exons.